GCCCUGGUGGCACAAUCGGUAAGCGCGCCGUACUUAUAAUGCGGAGGUUGUGAGUUCGAGCCUCACCCGGGGCA
RNAcentral lists this transfer RNA (74 nucleotides) under Octopus sinensis (East Asian common octopus). RNAcentral's name for it is "tRNA-Ile". It matches the Rfam family "tRNA". Rfam says of the family: Transfer RNA (tRNA) molecules are approximately 80 nucleotides in length. Their secondary structure includes four short double-helical elements and three loops (D, anti-codon, and T loops). Further hydrogen bonds mediate the characteristic L-shaped molecular structure. tRNAs have two regions of fundamental functional importance: the anti-codon, which is responsible for specific mRNA codon recognition, and the 3' end, to which the tRNAs corresponding amino acid is attached (by aminoacyl-tRNA synthetases). tRNAs cope with the degeneracy of the genetic code in two manners: having more than one tRNA (with a specific anti-codon) for a particular amino acid; and 'wobble' base-pairing, i.e. permitting non-standard base-pairing at the 3rd anti-codon position. Lineage: Eukaryota; Metazoa; Mollusca; Cephalopoda; Octopoda; Octopodidae. The record is from RNAcentral.